AAAUUGAAGAGUUUGAUCAUGGCUCAGAUUGAACGCUGGCGGCAGGCCUAACACAUGCAAGUCGAACGGUAACAGGAAGCAGCUUGCUGCUUCGCUGACGAGUGGCGGACGGGUGAGUAAUGUCUGGGAAACUGCCUGAUGGAGGGGGAUAACUACUGGAAACGAUAGCUAAUACCGCAUAACGUCGCAAGACCAAAGAGGGGGACCUUCGGGCCUCUUGCCAUCGGAUGUGCCCAGAUGGGAUUAGCUUGUUGGUGGGGUAA
RNAcentral lists this ribosomal RNA (263 nucleotides) under Escherichia coli. RNAcentral describes it as "partial 16S ribosomal RNA". It matches the Rfam family "Bacterial small subunit ribosomal RNA", at positions 1 to 260 of the family's 1533-position model. Lineage: Bacteria; Pseudomonadati; Pseudomonadota; Gammaproteobacteria; Enterobacterales; Enterobacteriaceae. The record is from RNAcentral.